Molecule: ribosomal RNA, 119 nt
Filed under: Anolis carolinensis (green anole)
Lineage: Eukaryota; Metazoa; Chordata; Lepidosauria; Squamata; Anolidae
Source: RNAcentral
UAACACGGACCUAAAAACUGUAAAGGCACCAGAUCUCAUUUGACCUGAGAAGCUAAGCAGGUCAGCCUUGGUUAGUACUUGGAUGGGAGACCACCAACAAAUACUAGGUCCUGUAGGAA